This is a non-coding RNA of Ciona intestinalis (vase tunicate), 387 nucleotides long. The record is from RefSeq and is a predicted model, not a curated record. NCBI's taxonomy places the organism in Eukaryota, Metazoa, Chordata, Ascidiacea, Phlebobranchia, Cionidae.
AUACAGAAGCCUCCUGAAACUAAAUGUGGAAACGCGGGCAUAUAAGAUACCGCAGAUAAAGCCAUCAUUUCAUCACAAGAAAGAAAAUCAUCAUGAACCGUUGUGUUGCUCUUAUUCUACUGGUCAUUCUUCUGUCUCAAGUUGCGAAUGGAUGGAAAAUUUGUUAUGGUAAAAUUUGCGUAAGUUUUGAUGAAGACGGAGUUGAAGCUGUAUUAAAAACGUCACUACAGGAUUCAAACCUCGACCAAAGCUUUGAGGAAAUGCUUGGUGAAACUCAAAUGAUGAAUGAUCAAGGCGCUCGGGCGGGUUCUGUUUAAGCUUGAGUCUUUUCUCAUCGCAUAAACCAUGGACGGUUUCGAGCAAAGGAAAUAAACAAAAAACAGUCAA